RNAcentral lists this ribosomal RNA (261 nucleotides) under uncultured archaeon. Its description in RNAcentral is "partial 16S ribosomal RNA". It matches the Rfam family "Archaeal small subunit ribosomal RNA", at positions 748 to 1009 of the family's 1478-position model. The record is from RNAcentral.
CAGCCGUAAACUAUGCUCGCUAGGUGUCAGGCAUGGCGCGACCGUGUCUGGUGCCGCAGGGAAGCCGUGAAGCGAGCCACCUGGGAAGCACGGCCGCAAGGCUGAAACUUAAAGGAAUUGGCGGGGGAGCACAACAACGGGUGGAGCCUGCGGUUUAAUUGGACUCAACGCCGGACAACUCACCGGGGACGACAGCAAUAUGUAGGCCAGGCUGAAGACCUUGCCUGAAUCGCUGAGAGGAGGUGCAUGGCGUAGACGUCU